This is a long non-coding RNA of Bos taurus (domestic cattle), 1203 nucleotides long. NCBI's taxonomy places the organism in Eukaryota, Metazoa, Chordata, Mammalia, Artiodactyla, Bovidae. The record is from Ensembl.
AUACUGGAGUGGGUUGCCAUUUUCUUCUCCAGGGGAUCUUUCCAACCCAGGGAUCGAACCCGGUCUCCUGCAUUGUAGGCGGAUGCUUUACCAUCUGAGCUACUAGGGAAGCAUCCUGGGUUAACAUCAGACAAACUAAAAUUGAAGGACAGACUACAAAGUAAUGGGCCUGAUUCUUUUUUUAAGAGUAAUCACUAGACUUUAUUUGAACAACUGGGAAAAUAUUUCCUUAAUCUGUUUAUAAGUGGGAAGGGAUGCAUGGUAUUGGAAGCACACGAAGGAAAGAGGGAGGGGAGAGGGGAAAGAAAGUUGGAAAGAAAAGAAGCAAAAAUGCGGGGAAAGAAAUACUGCAUUGAAUGAACCACAGACCAGAGUACCUUUCAUCUUACGUACCCUUAAUACAUUCAUGAAACUUCCAGAGAUAUUUCCAUUAGUUAAAUGGGAAACUUCCACAAAGUUGUGUCUGACUCUUGGGACUCUAUGGACUAUAGCUGCCAGGCUCCUCUACCCAUGGAUUUUCUAGGCUAGAAUACUGGAGUGGGUUGCCAUUUCCUUCUCCAUGGGCCUGAUUUUUAAAAACAUGUUUAUGUUGUGGAUCUUCUCUGUUGGUCCAAUGGUUAAGACUCCAUGCUCCCAAUGAGGGGGGUUGGGUUUGAUCCUUGGUCAGGGAACUAGAUCCCACAUACUGCAAUUAAGACCUGGCUUAGUCCAAAAAAAUAAAGUCUAAGUCACGAAAGACAAAGAUUAGGGAACUGUUCCAGAGUAAAGAGGAAUAAAGAGACAUGACAACUCCAAUGAAAAGGUGUAACUUUGAAGUGGGAAAAAUGUUGCAUAAAGGAUGUUAUUGGAACAAUUGGCAAAAUGUGAAUAUGGACUCGGUCGUAGAUGUUAGCAUUGGAUCUAUGUUAAUUUUCUGAACUUAAUCAUCGUAGGUUGGUUACCUAAGAGAGCCUUCUCGUUCUUAGGAAAUAAUCCCUAAAGUAUUUGUGGGUGAAGAGUCAAGAUUUCUGCAACUUAAUCUCAAAAGGUUCGGGGAAGAAAAAAAAGUCUCUGUUUUGCUUUGUACCAUUGAACUGGAUAUGCUACAAUUUACACUAUAUGUUCUCUAUUGUUGAACAUUAAAUUUUCCAAUUUAAAAAAUCAUUCUUACAAACAAUGAUGCUAUCAACAUCUUUACGAAUAGAAGUUCUUUCUUUUGUCACC